AAACCCAGUGUGACUCGUCACACUAUCAUUAACUGAAUCCAUAGGUUAAUGAGGCGAACCGGGGGAACUGAAACAUCUAAGUACCCCGAGGAAAAGAAAUCAACCGAGAUUCCCCCAGUAGCGGCGAGCGAACGGGGAGGAGCCCAGAGCCUGAAUCAGCAUGUGUGUUAGUGGAAGCGUCUGGAAAGGCGCGCGAUACAGGGUGACAGCCCCGUACACAAAAGCGCAUGUGCUGUGAGCUCGAUGAGUAGGGCGGGACACGUGGUAUCCUGUCUGAAUAUGGGGGGACCAUCCUCCAAGGCUAAAUACUCCUGACUGACCGAUAGUGAACCAGUACCGUGAGGGAAAGGCGAAAAGAACCCCGGCGAGGGGAGUGAAAAAGAACCUGAAACCGU
RNAcentral lists this ribosomal RNA (395 nucleotides) under Salmonella enterica. RNAcentral describes it as "partial 23S ribosomal RNA". It matches the Rfam family "Bacterial large subunit ribosomal RNA", at positions 124 to 559 of the family's 2925-position model. Lineage: Bacteria; Pseudomonadati; Pseudomonadota; Gammaproteobacteria; Enterobacterales; Enterobacteriaceae. The record is from RNAcentral.